UUGAAGGUUGGGUAACACUAACUGGAGGACCGAACCGACUAAUGUUGAAAAAUUAGCGGAUGACCUGUGGCUGGGGGUGAAAGGCCAAUCAAACCGGGAGAUAGCUGGUUCUCCCCGAAAGCUAUUUAGGUAGCGCCUCGUGAAUUCAUCUCCGGGGGUAGAGCACUGUUUCGGCCAGGGGGCCAUCCCGGCUUACCAAUCCGAUGCAAACUGCGAAUACCGGAGAAUGUUAUCACGGGAGACACACGGCGGGUGCUAACGUCCGUCGUGAAGAGGGAAACAACCCAGACCGCCAGCUAAGGUCCCAAAGUCAUGGUUAAGUGGGAAACGAUGUGGGAAGGCCCAGACAGCCAGGAUGUUGGCUUAGAAGCAGCCAUCAUUUAAAGAAAGCGUAAUAGCUCACUGGUCGAGUCGGCCUGCGCGGAAGAUGUAACGGGGCUAAACCAUGCACCGAAGCUGCGGCAGCGACACUGAUGUGUUGUUGGGUAGGGGAGCGUUCUGUAAGCCGUUGAAGGUGUGUCGUGAGGCAUGCUGGAGGUAUCAGAAGUGCGAAUGCUGACAUAAGUAACGAUAAAGCGGGUGAAAAGCCCGCUCGCCGGAAGACCAAGGGUUCCUGUCCAACGUUAAUCGGGGCAGGGUGAGUCGACCCCUAAGGCGAGGCCGAAAGGCGUAGUCGAUGGGAAACGGGUUAAUAUUCCCGUACUUGGUGUUACUGCGAAGGGGGGACGGAGAAGGCUAUGUUGGCCGGGCGACGGUUGUCCCGGUUUAAGCGUGCAGGUGUGUGUUCCAGGUAAAUCCGGUUCACUUUAACACUGAGGCGUGACGACGAGGCACCACGGUGCUGAAGCAACAAAUGCCCUGCUUCCAGGAAAAGCCUCUAAGCCUCAGGUAACAUCAAAUCGUACCCCAAACCGACACAGGUGGUCAGGUAGAGAAUACCAAGGCGCUUGAGAGAACUCGGGUGAAGGAACUAGGCAAAAUGGUGCCGUAACUUCGGGAGAAGGCACGCUGACACGUAGGUGAAGUGGUUUACCCAUGGAGCUGAAGUCAGUCGAAGAUACCAGCUGGCUGCAACUGUUUAUUAAAAACACAGCACUGUGCAAACACGAAAGUGGACGUAUACGGUGUGACGCCUGCCCGGUGCCGGAAGGUUAAUUGAUGGGGUCAGCGCAAGCGAAGCUCCUGAUCGAAGCCCCGGUAAACGGCGGCCGUAACUAUAACGGUCCUAAGGUAGCGAAAUUCCUUGUCGGGUAAGUUCCGACCUGCACGAAUGGCGUAAUGAUGGCCAGGCUGUCUCCACCCGGGACUCAGUGAAAUUGAACUCGCUGUGAAGAUGCAGUGUACCCGCGGCAAGACGGAAAGACCCCGUGAACCUUUACUAUAGCUUGACACUGAACACUGGUCCUUGAUGUGCAGGAUAGGUGGGAGGCUUUGAAGUGUGGACGCCAGUCUGCAUGGAGCCAUCCUUGAAAUACCACCCUUUAAUGGCUGGUGUUCUAACGUGGGCCCCUGACCGGGGUUGCGGACAGUGUCUGGUGGGUAGUUUGACUGGGGCGGUCUCCUCCUAAAGAGUAACGGAGGAGCACGAAGGUUGGCUAAUCCUGGUCGGACAUCAGGAGGUUAGUGCAAUGGCAUAAGCCAGCUUGACUGCGAGCGUGACGGCGCGAGCAGGUGCGAAAGCAGGUCAUAGUGAUCCGGUGGUUCUGAAUGGAAGGGCCAUCGCUCAACGGAUAAAAGGUACUCCGGGGAUAACAGGCUGAUACCGCCCAAGAGUUCAUAUCGACGGCGGUGUUUGGCACCUCGAUGUCGGCUCAUCACAUCCUGGGGCUGAAGUAGGUCCCAAGGGUAUGGCUGUUCGCCAUUUAAAGUGGUACGCGAGCUGGGUUUAGAACGUCGUGAGACAGUUCGGUCCCUAUCUGCCGUGGGCGCUGGAAGAUUGAGGGGGGCUGCUCCUAGUACGAGAGGACCGGAGUGGACGCAUCACUGGUGUUCGGGUUGUCAUGCCAAUGGCACUGCCCGGUAGCUACAUGCGGAAGAGAUAAGUGCUGAAAGCAUCUAAGCACGAAACUUGCCCCGAGAUGAAUCUUCCCUGAGCCUUUAAGGCUCCUGAAGGAACGUUGAAGACGACGACGUUGAUAGGCCGGGUGUGUAAGCGCAGCGAUGCGUUGAGCUAACCGGUACUAAUGAACCGUGAGGCUUAACCUUACAACGCCGAAG
Molecule: ribosomal RNA, 2217 nt
Filed under: Salmonella enterica
Lineage: Bacteria; Pseudomonadati; Pseudomonadota; Gammaproteobacteria; Enterobacterales; Enterobacteriaceae
Description: partial 23S ribosomal RNA
Rfam family: Bacterial large subunit ribosomal RNA
Source: RNAcentral